RNAcentral lists this ribosomal RNA (497 nucleotides) under uncultured bacterium. Its description in RNAcentral is "partial 16S ribosomal RNA". It matches the Rfam family "Bacterial small subunit ribosomal RNA", at positions 28 to 507 of the family's 1533-position model. The record is from RNAcentral.
GAUGAACGCUGGCGGCGUGCCUAAUACAUGCAAGUCGAGCGGACGGACGAGAAUCUUGCUUCUCUGAUGUUAGCCGCGGACGGGUGAGUAACACGUGUAUAACCUACCUAUAAUACGGGUAUAACUUCGGGAAUCCGGAGCUAAUACCGGAGAAGAUUUUGAACCGCAGGGUGCAAAAGUGAAAGACGGUCUUGCUGUCACUUAUAGAUGGAUCCCGGCUGCAUUAGCUAGUUGGUAAGGUAACGGCUUACCAAGGCAACGAUGCAUAGCCGACCUCAGAGAGUGAUCGGCGACACUGGAACUGAGCCAGCGUCAAGACUCCUGCGGGAGGCCCCAGAAGGGAAUCUUACGCAAUGGGCGAAAGUCUGACGGAGUAACCCGGCGUGAGUGAUGACGGUGCUGGGAUCGUGAAAACCCGUUAUUAGGGAAGAACAUAUGUCUCCGUAAAUGUGCACAUAUUGACGGUACUUAAUCAGAAAGCACCGGCUAACUACGUG